This 253-nucleotide ribosomal RNA is filed under the name uncultured bacterium. Its description in RNAcentral is "partial 16S ribosomal RNA". It matches the Rfam family "Bacterial small subunit ribosomal RNA", at positions 524 to 776 of the family's 1533-position model. The record is from RNAcentral.
UACGGAGGGUGCAAGCGUUGCUCGGAAUUAUUGGGCGUAAAGGGUAGGUAGGUGGUCUCAUUUGUCUGGGGUGGAAGCCUUGAGCUUAACUCAAGAAGUGCCCCAGAAACGGUGAGACUGGAGUCCUGGAGAGGGUCGUGGAAUUCCCGGUGUAGCGGUGAAAUGCGUAGAGAUCGGGAGGAACACCAGAGGCGAAGGCGGCGACCUGGACAGGUACUGACACUCAACUACGAAAGCGUGGGGAGCGAUCCGG